Molecule: ribosomal RNA, 467 nt
Filed under: uncultured bacterium
Lineage: Bacteria
Description: partial 16S ribosomal RNA
Rfam family: Bacterial small subunit ribosomal RNA
Source: RNAcentral
GACGAACGCUGGCGGCGUGCUUAACACAUGCAAGUCGAACGGAAAGGCCCUGCUUUUGUGGGGUGCUCGAGUGGCGAACGGGUGAGUAACACGUGAGUAACCUGCCCUUGACUUUGGGAUAACUUCAGGAAACUGGGGCUAAUACCGGAUAGGAGCUCCUGCUGCAUGGUGGGGGUUGGAAAGUUUCGGCGGUUGGGGAUGGACUCGCGGCUUAUCAGCUUGUUGGUGGGGUAGUGGCUUACCAAGGCUUUGACGGGUAGCCGGCCUGAGAGGGUGACCGGCCACAUUGGGACUGAGAUACGGCCCAGACUCCUACGGGAGGCAGCAGUGGGGAAUAUUGCACAAUGGACGGAAGCCUGAUGCAGCAACGCCGCGUGCGGGAUGACGGCCUUCGGGUUGUAAACCGCUUUCGCCUGUGACGAAGCGUGAGUGACGGUAAUGGGUAAAGAAGCACCGGCUAACUACGU